UCCCGGUUGCCCGGGCAGUUCGUCCAGAGUGCCCAACCAAAUGCUGGCAACAGGACGUGGGGGUUGCGCUCGUUGCGGGACUUAACCCAACAUCUCACGACACGAGCUGACGACAACCAUGCAACUCCUGUGUUCCGGUCCCUUGCGGGAAGCCGGGUUUCCCCGGAUGUCCGGACAUGUCAAGUCUGGGUAAGGUUCUUCGGUUAGUGACGAAUUAAUCCACAUGCUCCACCGCUUGUGCGGGCCCCCGUCAAUUCCUUUGAGUUUCAACCUUGCGGCCGUACUCCCCAGGCGGGGUACUUAGUGCGUUAGCGACGGCACCGGGGGGGUCGAUACCCCCGACACCUAGUACCCAUCGUUUACGGCGUGGACUAC
Molecule: unclassified non-coding RNA, 375 nt
Filed under: uncultured bacterium
Lineage: Bacteria
Description: contains 16S-23S intergenic spacer region
Source: RNAcentral